UCUGGUUGAUCCUGGCAGAGGCUAUUGCUAUCAGGGUUUGACUAAGCCAUGCGAGUCGAGAGGUGAAAGACCUCGGCAUACUGCUCAGUAACACGUGGAUAAUCUGCCCUCAGAAGAAGAAUAAUCCCGGGAAACUGGGGCUAAUACUUCAUAGGAGACGGGUGCUGGAAUGCUCUGUCUCUGAAAGGUCUGCCGUCUGAGGAUGAGUCUGCGUCCGAUUAGGUUGUUGUUGGGGUAACGGCCCAACAAGCCUGUGAUCGGUACGGGUUGUGGGAGCAAGAGCCCGGAGAUGGAUUCUGAGACAUGAAUCCAGGCCCUACGGGGCGCAGCAGGCGCGAAAACUUUACAAUGCGAGCAAUCGUGAUAAGGAAACCCUGAGUGCCUGUCAACGCAGGCUGUUCUGGUGUCUAACACACACCAGGAGAAAGGGCGGGGCAAGACCGGUGCCAGCCGCCGCGGUAAUACCGGCUGCUCGAGUGAUAGCCACUUUUACUGGGCUU
RNAcentral lists this ribosomal RNA (500 nucleotides) under uncultured methanogenic archaeon. Its description in RNAcentral is "bacterial SSU rRNA". It matches the Rfam family "Archaeal small subunit ribosomal RNA", at positions 1 to 511 of the family's 1478-position model. Lineage: Archaea; Methanobacteriati; Methanobacteriota. The record is from RNAcentral.